Molecule: long non-coding RNA, 415 nt
Filed under: Mytilus galloprovincialis (Mediterranean mussel)
Lineage: Eukaryota; Metazoa; Mollusca; Bivalvia; Mytilida; Mytilidae
Source: RNAcentral
UUCGUUAAAGAGAGCUACACUCAUUUUCACUUUUCAUCGUAAACCUGGAUCCGCCACUAUCAGCUUCGCUAAAAUAAAAAUAAAAACUAUUGGUGUGGAAACAUUUGUUUUAAAAGAAUUUAAAACAAUCAGAGGUAGUUAUUUGAAAUAAACCCUAUCAGAAGAAAAGAAAUGAAGAGUACCGUAAUCGUGGAAAGUUGACUCCUUGGCAAUUAUACCUCAUUUUAUUUUUCAUACUGAUCAUCCCUUUUUAGUUCACAUGAUUUCAUUUCGUAUCAUGCUUUGACUAUGACAUGAAAUGUAAAAUGACAUUAAAGAAAAAACAUAAUCAACUUAGAUGAGACAGCAAUCCAACAAAAAAAAAGACCACUGAGGUCUUGGAUACAAAAUCAUUAUGGUAUCAUGUACGACUUUA